RNAcentral lists this ribosomal RNA (253 nucleotides) under uncultured bacterium. Its description in RNAcentral is "partial 16S ribosomal RNA". It matches the Rfam family "Bacterial small subunit ribosomal RNA", at positions 524 to 776 of the family's 1533-position model. The record is from RNAcentral.
UACAGAGGUCUCAAGCGUUGUUCGGAUUCAUUGGGCGUAAAGGGUGCGUAGGCGGGUCUUUAAGUCAGGGGUGAAAUCCUGGAGCUCAACUCCAGAACUGCCUUUGAUACUGAUGAUCUUGAGUUCGGGAGAGGUGAGUGGAACUGCGAGUGUAGAGGUGAAAUUCGUAGAUAUUCGCAAGAACACCAGUGGCGAAGGCGGCUCACUGGCCCGAUACUGACGCUGAGGCACGAAAGCGUGGGGAGCAAACAGG